RNAcentral lists this unclassified non-coding RNA (2134 nucleotides) under Cimex lectularius (bed bug). RNAcentral's name for it is "egl nine homolog 3, transcript variant X1". The record is from RNAcentral. Lineage: Eukaryota; Metazoa; Arthropoda; Insecta; Hemiptera; Cimicidae.
CGGAAAACUCGAGUCAGUCUGUCAGUCAUUCGUCGUUAAUGUCGGGCAUAAAAUGAAGCCUGUCGCCCGAUGCGAGCAGUGCGGUGCGAAAAAUUUCUUGUUGAUAUGUUCGAGGUGUACGUCCGUGUAUUAUUGUAGCAGGGAACACCAGGCGAUGGACUGGAAAAACCACAAACCCCACUGCCAAAACAUAGACAACAAAGAGAAAUCCGACGAGUCGCUCCCGAGGAAGUCGCUCACAGUCGAGUCGGAAGGCGUAUCCGUCAUGAACAACGCAAAGACGGAAAUGCCCAAUUUCGAUUUCGGCACCCUGUGCAACCUGUUCUCGUCAUGCGGGCCCGCCGGCGUCGAGGACACCAGGCCGAUCAGGAACGACAACCAUUCCAUGGACACGUCCCGGACGGCGGAUCGUUUCGGACGGCUCAGGGCCAACGAAGACGACGAAGACCUCGUCUGCCGCACGGUCAUCGAUCACAUGAACGCCUACGGUGUCUGCGUCGUCGACAACUUCCUAGGCACCGCCCGCGGCAAGGCCGUGCUCCGCGAGGUGAUAGAAAUGCACAAAAACGGCAAGUUUGAGGAUGGACAGCUCAUGAGCAACAACCUCAAAGCGGAUCACAAGACCAUCAGGAGCGACCAGAUCACAUGGAUUGACGGCAACGAGUCAUUCUGCACCAACAUAGGCAUGCUCAUCAAAGAGGUGGACAGAGUCGUCAUGAGGGCAAACAACAUGUCAAACAACGGACAAAUGGGAUCUUACACCAUCAACGGAAGGACCAAGGCUAUGGUAGCGUGCUAUCCUGGUAAUGGUGCUCAUUACGUUAAACAUGUAGAUAAUCCAAAUAAUGAUGGCCGAUGUAUAACCGCCAUAUAUUACCUUAAUCAAGACUGGAAUGUAACUGAAAACGGUGGACUUCUGCGGAUAUUUCUUGAAGGACAGGAUACAGUUGCAGACAUAGAGCCUUUGUUUGAUAGGAUAUUAUUUUUUUGGUCUGACCGUAGAAAUCCCCAUGAAGUUCAUCCAGCCUACAAAACUAGGUAUGCGAUAACGAUAUGGUAUUUUGAUGCAGAAGAAAGAAAAAGGGCUUUCAUCAGAUAUCGAGAAACUGGUAGCACAGUCUGUGCUUAAAUUUUAAUUGGACAAAAUUGAAACGCUGAAAAUCUACAAACGAAUGCUGAAACAAAAUAUAUAUCGAAACCUUUUAGCGAACAUUAAUCACGAUGAAAUAUUUCAUUAUUAAAUGAAUCAGAUUUUAUAAGGCAUCUAAAGGCAAACAUUUUACCAACAUCGUUGUUUCUAGUCUAGUGUAAACAUUUGUAUUAAAACCAGCAUUGAGAAACAGAAAUUAUUUUUAUAAAUCCUACGAGCAUGCAACAUAGCGUAUUAUAUUAAAUUUCUAUCAUAAUGACUAUGUACAUGUGCAAUAAGAUGUUAUUUUUAAAACCAAUGGUGUUUUAAUGGCAUUUGACCUGACCUUCCUGAAAUACUAAAAUCAUUUUACUGUAGCAACGACUCUUUAAAUUUAGAAUGUUGGCCUGAUUUCCCCAUUUUAUGUUACAUAAAAAUAUGUAUAGUUCAUAUAUAUAUCUAACCAGUUGCCCUAUUAUAACAAAUCCUUUGUAAAAUAGAAUUUGGUAAGGAAUUGUUCAAUUUAAUCAUACUCAAGGAAAAGUGAGACUGUUUGACAAAUUAAUUCUAGUAACUAAACAAGAGUUCCAAUGAGUUAUUUACUACCAUAUUAAGAGGAUAAUAGAUAGGAAGGAAAUACAAAUGUAUAUUUUCUUAAUUCAUUUAUUAUGGGCAAAAUAAAGUUGUGAUAAAUGUUGUUGUCAUUGCUUAAGCAGUAUCUGACUGUUAGCUGAUAACAGCUCAACCAAUUUGUAAGAUAUAUUUAUUGUACAUUACAUCAUUUAUUGAUUUUGAUCAUCCUGAAUGUAUAUAAAUUAAACUUGUAUGCUUUUAUUGGAAAUUAUAAUUAGUUAUAGUCCUCUGAAGAAUGAUAUUUUAUAAUGAAUGAGUUUCUGUUGUAAGACAAAAAUCUAGUCAUCAUUUGCAUUGUAAUGAACUGCACAAGAGACCGUUCAAAAACAAACUGCGCUGUGAAAUAUUGUUAAUAAAAUCAUUUUCAAGGAU